AGCUUCCUGAAUCCGUGCUGAGAUUUCGUCAGACACCAACCCAUUAAGGUCAUCAGACUUCUAAGAUAAGUGAAGUU
RNAcentral lists this microRNA precursor (77 nucleotides) under Schistosoma margrebowiei. Its description in RNAcentral is "mir-3492 microRNA precursor family". It matches the Rfam family "mir-3492 microRNA precursor family". The record is from Rfam by way of RNAcentral. Lineage: Eukaryota; Metazoa; Platyhelminthes; Trematoda; Strigeidida; Schistosomatidae.